Molecule: ribosomal RNA, 496 nt
Filed under: uncultured bacterium
Lineage: Bacteria
Description: partial 16S ribosomal RNA
Rfam family: Bacterial small subunit ribosomal RNA
Source: RNAcentral
AUGAACGCUGGCGGCGUGCCUAAUACAUGCCAGUCGAGCGAACAGACUAGGAGCUUGCUCCUCUGACGUUAGCGGCGGACGGGUGAGUAACACGUGGAUAACCUACCUAUAAGACUGGGAUAACUUCGGGAAACCGGAGCUAAUACCGGAUAAUAUAUUGAACCGCAUGGUUCAAUAGUGAAAGACGGUUUUGCUGUCACUUAUAGAUGGAUCCGCGCCGCAUUAGCUAGUUGGUAAGGUAACGGCUUACCAAGGCAACGAUGCGUAGCCGACCUGAGAGGGUGAUCGGCCACACUGGAACUGAGACACGGUCCAGACUCCUACGGGAGGCAGCAGUAGGGAAUCUUCCGCAAUGGGCGAAAGCUUGACGGAGCAACGCCGCGUGAGUGAUGAAGGUCUUCGGAUCGUAAAACUCUGUUAUUAGGGAAGAACAAAUGUGUAAGUAACUAUGCACGUCUUGACGGUACCUAAUCAGAAAGCCACGGCUAACUACGUG